Pelobates cultripes (western spadefoot toad) is the source of this 522-nucleotide non-coding RNA. NCBI's taxonomy places the organism in Eukaryota, Metazoa, Chordata, Amphibia, Anura, Pelobatidae. The record is from the annotation of a GenBank genome assembly.
CUUCGCGAAAAUAUACGCCAUCAGACUGGGCACGAUCCUCCCACACCUGAUAAGGAAUGAUCAAGUCGGAUUCGUUAGAGGGAGACAAGGGGGGGACAACACGAGAAAGGUCAUCGACAUUAUACAUAGUGUCCACAGCCAACAUACAGAAUGUGUAACGCUCUCACUAGACGCGGAGAAGGCCUUUGACCGCCUGAGCUGGAGGUUCCUGAAAGCAGUCCUGGAUAAGUUUGGGAUGCCGGGGGCAUUCUGCUCGGCGGUGGAGGCCUUAUACAGCAAACCAUCGGCACAGGUAGUCACGGCAGGCUUCACAUCGGAACCGUUUAGCAUCACUAACGGAACGAGGCAGGGAUGCCCACUCUCCCCCUUACUAUAUGGGUUGGCUUUAGAGCCGCUAGCGGAGACAAUACGGGCCAACAGCUCCAUACACGGAGUAACAGUGGGCGACAGGGAAUACAAAAUCAAUUUGUUUGCGGACGAUGUCAUGUUGACACUAACGCAACCCCAAAUUUCACUACCAAA